RNAcentral lists this transfer RNA (73 nucleotides) under Ipomoea nil (Japanese morning glory). It matches the Rfam family "tRNA". From Rfam's summary of the family: Transfer RNA (tRNA) molecules are approximately 80 nucleotides in length. Their secondary structure includes four short double-helical elements and three loops (D, anti-codon, and T loops). The record is from Rfam by way of RNAcentral. Lineage: Eukaryota; Viridiplantae; Streptophyta; Magnoliopsida; Solanales; Convolvulaceae.
GCGGGGAUAGCUCAGUUGGGAGAGCGUCAGACUGAAGAUCUGAAGGCCGUGUGUUCGAUCCACACUCACCGCA